GCGCUCGUAGCUCAGUGGAUAGAGCAUCAGCUUGCGGAGCUGAGGGUCGUAGGUUCGAGUCCUAUCGAGCGCGCCA
Molecule: transfer RNA, 76 nt
Filed under: Fimbriimonas sp.
Lineage: Bacteria; Bacillati; Armatimonadota; Fimbriimonadia; Fimbriimonadales; Fimbriimonadaceae
Also listed under: 3 other names
Description: tRNA-Arg
Rfam family: tRNA
About the family: Transfer RNA (tRNA) molecules are approximately 80 nucleotides in length. Their secondary structure includes four short double-helical elements and three loops (D, anti-codon, and T loops). Further hydrogen bonds mediate the characteristic L-shaped molecular structure. tRNAs have two regions of fundamental functional importance: the anti-codon, which is responsible for specific mRNA codon recognition, and the 3' end, to which the tRNAs corresponding amino acid is attached (by aminoacyl-tRNA synthetases). tRNAs cope with the degeneracy of the genetic code in two manners: having more than one tRNA (with a specific anti-codon) for a particular amino acid; and 'wobble' base-pairing, i.e. permitting non-standard base-pairing at the 3rd anti-codon position.
Source: RNAcentral